CUCACUGUGUGACAUGAUGAAGCUCUGUUUAUAGAUCUGUCUGUUGUUUUCAGUACCAGGCUGCAUGUACAUCUGUGUCUGUGAGCUUAGAAGAUGGAGAGAAAGACUUGUAGACCGAUGUUGCUUGAGGAGCACUCUCAGUUACAGGACAUGCGAGCUUGCCCGCUCUUUCAGGACUAAAUGAAUGUACGUGAAUUAGAGUUGGGUGUGUGUGUGUGUGUGUGUGUGUCUGAGUGGGGGAACAUGACAGACAGGUCCAUGUGUCACAGCUCUGCACACAAUAGCGCUGUGCUUCACUCUUGGUUUGCUGGUCCUCUUGCACACUGGCGUUCUAUUCAACAACAUCUUACCCCAACAGCUGGACUCACACUGUGCCAAAAUAUGCUUCACUGCAAUGCAAAAGUGUCAAUGACAAAUUUGCCUGAGAAGAAUAGAAUAAAUGGAUUUACAAUUCAAGAGUCAACGGAUUUACAAUUCAGUAUGUCAUACAUGGUACUCUUUAUAUUCCUUACUUUACCGCUUGAGAAAGUUUUCAUCAAAUAUGUUCCAUUUUUUAGUUAGGACAACUGUGAGAAAAGUGAAAAGCCAAUCUCCUCGGGACAGCUGGGUCCGCCUGUCUCUAUUCCCAGACGCAGGAUAACAAAUAACAAAUCUGUCUUAUUUCAGUAAGGAAGGUAUUUUUCUUUUAGCAGUUAACCAUUUCUAUUACAUUUCCUUCGGGUUUCGGCUGAAUUCUAUCUUUCAUUACUCUCUUUUCUAUUGAUCAUUUUUUUGUAGGAUCAUUUCACCCAUACUAUUGCAUAUGAUCCUAUUCUUAAUGAAGCAGAAAACUAUGAUGUCAAUGAUGGCAUGUGUGUAUAUUACAGGUAAAUAGGCUGCCACCCAGUAUGGAUUAGAAGCAGAGUGGAAUUUGUGCUUAAUGGUUUGGUGGGAAUGAGCAGCUGGAAGCAGAACGUUUCUGCAGGUAGAUCGGGUGGAAAGACUGCGGCAGCAUCCCACAGUGGAGAUAGGGGAAGAAAAGAGCCAGUUAGUGGGGCGACAGUGGUGUCCGUAUAUGUAAUAUGUGAUUAUAGGUUAUGAGUGGACAGAGCUACGUGUCUGUAUAUGUAAUAUGUGAUUAUAGGUUAUGAGUGGACAGAGCUACGUGUCCGUAUAUGUAAUAUGUGAUUAUAGGUUAUGAGUGGACAGAGCUAGGUGUCUGUAUAUGUAAUAUGUGAUUAUAGGUUAUGAGUGGACAGAGCUACGUGUCCGUAUAUGUAAUAUGUGAUUAUAGGUUAUGGUGAUGAGGAACAAUGUUAUCACAGCCAUCAGCAUUUACAGGUAAAGCUUUUACUAGAGAAGAGAACCGAGACAGGUUAGAAACAGAAUAUCAGAAAAUCAAUCAUAC
This is a long non-coding RNA of Clupea harengus (Atlantic herring), 1387 nucleotides long. The record is from Ensembl. NCBI's taxonomy places the organism in Eukaryota, Metazoa, Chordata, Actinopteri, Clupeiformes, Clupeidae.